GACGUCAAUCAGAGAGCCCACCCACUCUGCCCACUCUCUCCUCUUCCUCUUCCAGAGCUGGUUCACUUCCUGUAGGGACUGAAAACCAAGUGAGGAGAUGGUGAGUGAAGGAGCAGCUUUUAUACAAAUUGUUUUCCGGCAGCUACUCCGAGAGUUACUGCUGGUGAGCUGAGUCAAUAAUCAGCAGCGAGGUUCUGGUUUGAAUUCGAUACGUAGAGAGGAGAAGGACUGCACUGUGCUACACCAGAGAAUACAGAGAAGAUAAACAUUGCAAAUAGAUCCUGACGAUUACCCAAGGAAUAACUGAUGAACUGCUGGAAGACAUCCAAUCUCUUCAUAGCCUUGCUGAACCAAGAGGCGGUUGGUCAGUGAAACCACAAUCUGGAAAUUGGUCGGGUCAGAGGAACUUUGACAUAUCAUCAGAUCUGAAACUGGUCAGAGCCUUAUAUCAGAACCAGCCUUUCUGAAGGUUCGGCUGAGGGUGAUCAGUCGGGGGAGGCUGGGAAGAAGUGUGUGUGGCUCCAAGUGUGGUGAGAUCAUUCAUUGAGCCUUAAGAGACUUAUUCCUACAAGUGAGAGGUUGAACCUCUUGUGUUUGAGGUGUACAAAGAAGGUUCACAGUUUGACAAUAUUUCUAGACACACAAGGUAUAUCUGUUGUGUAACAGUUAACACAACUGAAGCCAUCUGGAAAAGAAACCAAUCACAGUUUGAUGCACAAUCAAGGCUCAUGACUAACCGACGUACUCACCUGAGAGAGAAACCAUUCACGUGCGAGGUCUGCAACAAAACAUUCUCAGAAUCCUCAAACCUCCGCAGACACCGACGCAUUCACACAGGGGAGAAACCGUUCACAUGUGACGUGUGUGAUAAAUCAUUCUCGCAGUCAGAGAACCUGCUGAGACACCAACGCAUCCACACAGGGGAGAAGCCAUUCACUUGUGAAGUGUGUGACAAAUCAUUCUCAGAAUCAGAAAACCUUCGCACCCAUCUACGUACACACACUGGGGAAAAACCAUACACGUGUGAGGUGUGUGACAAAUCAUUCUCCCUCUCCUCUACCCUCCGCAAACACCAACACGUUCACACAAAGGAAAAACCAUUCAAGUGUGAGGUGUGCAACAAAUCAUUCUUAGACUCUUCGACUCUCUGCUCACACCAACGCAUUCACACAGAGGAAAAACCAUUCACGUGUAAGGUGUGUGACAAAUCAUUCUCUAACUCAUCAACUCUUUGCAAACACAGACGUAUUCACACAGGGCAGAAACCAUUCAGAUGUGGAUUUUGCGAGAAGGCUUUCACCAACUCCUCUGAUCUGCUGAAGCACCAACACAUUCACACGGGAGAAAAACCAUUCACUUGCAAGGUGUGCUGUAAAUCAUUCUCGGCAUCAUCAUCCCUCCGCACACACCAACGCUUUCACACAGGGGAGAAACCAUUCACGUGCAACAUUUGUGAAAAGGCUUUCACCAUCUCAUCUGAUCUCCUGAAACACCAAUACAUUCACACAGGAGCAAAACCAUUCCCGUGCAAACUGUGUAAUAAAUCAUUUUCACAGUCGACAAAUCUCCGCAGACACCAACGUGUUCACACAGGAGAGAAACCGUUCACAUGUGAGGUGUGUGACAAAUCAUUCACGGAGAGAUCAAAUCUUCACAGACACCAGCGCAUUCACACUGUGGAGUAACUUUACAACUGUGAGGUUUGUAAUAAAGGAAAUGUGAUGUCUUCAAACGUCCUAGGAUAUCAGAGGAUUCACAAAGGGUCGGAAGUUCUUCAGGUUUGGUGUUUGCAACCAGGCUGUUACCCACUCCUCUCCCACUCUCUUUAAACAUCAGAUCUUACAGAGAUAGAUCCUGACCAUUACCCGAGGAACAGCUGCGCAACUGUGGGAAGAUAUACAAUCCCUUCACAGUACUGAUGAACACAAAGAAGGUUGGGCAGCGAAACAACCAUCUGGAAAUCUUUUGGGUCAAGGGAGCUUUGACACAUCAUGAGAUCUGAAAUUGAUCAAUGGUCUGCAGCCUCCCAUCAGCACCAACCUUUCUGAAGAUUUAGCAGUGGAUGGUUGGUCAAGGUGAAGCUGGGAAGAAGAGUGAGUGGCUCCAAGUGUAGAUAAAGCUUCAAUCAUUCAUUCAGCCUCAGGAAUCAUUUCUACAGGUGAGAGGCUAUUCAAAUGUGAGGUGUGUGAAGAGGACUCCAAAGGCUUGUAAAAUCUCCUGACACACAACGUGCAUCUGUGGAGUAACUAUUAACAAAUGAAUAGUUACACGGAAGAGAAACCUUUCAAGUGUGAGUUGUGUGAUCGAGCUUUUAAAUAGUCAUUGAUGUUUCUAAAUUACCGUUGCAUUCAUGCAGGGGAGAAACCAUUCAAAUGUGAUGCGUUGAACCAGAGCUUUGCCUAUUCACAUGGGGGAGGAAUCAUUUAGGUGCAUGGUGUGCAGUAAAUUAUUAUCACAGUCACUGACACUCCUCAUACGCCAACAUGUUCAUAUGGGGAGAAACCACUUAUGUGCAACGUGUGCAACAAAUCAUUCUCAACAUCAUCAGACCUUCGAAUAUACCUUAUAUAUUCUUACAGGGGAGAGACCAAACUGUGGGAAGAGUCAUUCUUGUCAUCAUCAGUUCUCCAUGUGCAUCAAUGCAUUCAUACAGAAGAGACUGGUCAGAUAUAAAGUGUGUAACACGUUGUUCUCACAGUCAGGAAAUCUCUGCACAUACCUUUGCACCCACACAGGGGAGAAACUGUUCAACAGUAAAGUGUCCGAAAGAUCAGUUUCUGCUUCACCAGAGAAUUCAGACAGGGGAGAAACUAUCCACUGGGCCAUGUGCAGUAAAUCAUUCACAAAGUCAUAGAAUCUCCUGUUCCCUCACAGGAUCCACAUAGGAGCGUGAAGGACUUAUCAUGGAACUUUCAUGAUGUCUUCGCUCAUCCAGAGCACCACAGGAUUCAAACAAUGGAGAGAGUCUACAGGUGCAGUGUUUGUGACAAGGUUUUUGUACAGUCAGCAUUUCUCUUCAUCAGUACAGCCACCCGGGAGAGAAACCGUUUAGUGUGACUUUUGUAAUUAAAUAUUAACAGUUUGUAAACCUUAUGGAACAUGAAUGAGUCCACAAAGGAAUGAUCAACCUAUAUUUUUGCCCAUCUUGUCCUCAGAGUGUUUACCAGUACACAGGGUGUUCAGUGCGCCUGGGACACAGAACAAGAAGCAGCUUUCACUCCCAUCAAACACCUAGUGAUGACAUCACCUGUGCUGAAGGAUUAUGAUGUCAGCAAUGGAGCCACCCUGCAGUGUGAUGUCAGUGACACAGGACUUGGAGUAAUCCCCAUGCAGUGAGGGCAACCCAUUGUGUUUGUAUCCAGUUAACACAGACUGAACAACACUGUACACUGAUGGAGAAAGACAGCCUUGCUUUUGAACCUUUCAACUAUUAUCUGUUUGGGGAGACAGAAAGCAAUCUGACCACAAGCUGUUCAAAGCAUCUCUCUCAAACCACUUGUGUUAGCACUAGGGCAUUUGCACAGGAUGUUGUUUUUCUUGCAGAGUCGAUACUUGGAAAUAAAGUACAAGCAAGGGAAGCAGAUGUACAUCGUCAACACACUGUCGAGACCUGCUGUCACUUUCAAGUUGAUGGUACGAAGUGUGAAAUUUUUCAGAUUUACCACAAGAAGCAAUAGUAUGACAUGCUGAAGAGUCAUCAAUCCAGUUGACAUUGAACCAGAUCUUCUGGUCUCUGACUGUCAUAGACUGGAGGUAAGAUUUUGGAGCUGCUCACACUGACACACUGUUCUAUAGCAAAUGUGUAGAAAAUUUGAACAUCUAAUAAGUCAGGACCCUCCAGAAGUUCAGACAGUCCAUCCCUGAGACUUGAGAUAGUUCCAAAGUAUUCGCCUGGAUAGUUACCAGGAAAUUUUAGGCAGGAAGAAACUUUGUAUAUCUGCUGGGUGUCCAUGCAGUUCGUCACACUGACCGUGCAACUAUCCCACUACCACAACCCUCUAACUCCCUGAGAUCUGACCUGAUGACACCAUCACUCCAGCAGACUCAACUGUCCAGCUUUCAUCACCCGACUACCCAUUAAAAACCAAACUUAUCUAAGACCUGAACCACCAACUCAUUCACCAGAUCACCAGGUACCACCUGUACUCAUUCUCUUCACUGCUGUCUGUGUGGAUUCCUGCAAUAAUUUUCUUUUUCAUGUAGAUUCCUGUAGUGAGGGAGUUCAUCUCACUGCUGCAUCAGAGGUUUGAUCAGAAAACCAAACGAGGUAACGGAUAAUUUUCUGUCUAGUGUCAAACACAGGGGCUCUGACUCAGAGUCAAAGGUUUGGGACGAACCUACCAAACCAAGCAUUUACACGAGGUGUAAUUCUUCAAAUGCUAGAGAAAGUCGAGGUAAAAGAAUGGCCUGCAUCCAUGAAGGACAGACAUGGUACUGUAAGAGAGUAAACAGAGAUGAAGUGAUCACCAAAGAUGGUGAUACGCCAUGUACAGAGGAAGAAGGAUCAUUAACCUGGAAAAGAUGAGAAAAGACAUACUGAAGCACAUCCUACACAAACUAUAAAAGAAGUGAGUCUAGUCUAUGGAAAAAAAGAGAAGUGCUGUACUGGCUAAAACAAGAAUGAGGACCACAUCAGCAAGUGCUAUGUUUGUAAUAAACAUCAAACUAAACCAGAUAAAGAGCUAUUCAUGACUCCUGACAUCCCAGACAGCCCAUGGAUAAAGCUUGGAGUAGAUCUCUUCAUUCUCACUGGAACUAUCCUGUCACAGUCAACUGCUAUUCAGGUAGCAGGAAGUUACAGCAGUGACAUCAGUGACUCCCAGUGAGACUGUAGAAUGUCUGAAAGCAUACUUCAGUCAUUGUGACAUUCCUGACAUUGUGAUAAGUGAGAAUGACCGUAAUUCAUGAGUGAUAAAUUCAGACAAUGAUUUGAGAAAUUCAGCCCCACAUAUCAUUUCCACAGUAUCACCAAUAUAAUAGAAAGGCUGAAGAACUGGUGAAAAUUGCUGAAGGGAUAAAUGUGUACGAAGUGAUCUUCAAGUGGAGAAACACACCUACCAAAGGCAAGAAAAGUUGCCCAGUCCAGCAAGUAAUGUCACGUGGUACACAGCUUGCUCUUCCAAUUGAUAAAACUUGACUGAGGUCAGAAAUAGGAACAGGAUUGAGUGACAAGAUCAAAGUGAAAUGACAGAAAGCCAAAUGUUACUUUGACCAGUGUGCUAAAUCAUUGUCAGGAUUGAGAGUUGGACAACCAGAGUGCAGAUGUUCAAUAUGUUCACGAAAAGGCAGCCUGCAUGGUAACUUGAAACUUGUGUGCAGAAGUUGUCACUGUGAUCAUUAACAGUGAAAGGAAACUGUAAGAUCUGUUGUUAAAACAGCAGUCACCUAAAUGCAGCCAGAGAAGGCGCAUCUUCGUUGCAAAUAGAUGAAGAGGCAAUUGAGUGAAGAACCGAAUGACCAUCAGUGUCAGAGGCAAGCCGGCCCCGCAACAAAUGCAAUCUAUCUGCCACAACAGUUAUCACAGUAACAAUGACUUCCUAAGAACACGAUGGGUAUACUGACACCACCAUAGCCUGCUUCAAGAAGCUCACUACCAUUUUCUAAAGGUCAGCUGGGAACUCUGCAACAAAUAGUGGCCUAGCAAGUGAUGUCCACAUCCGAGAAACAAUUUUUAAAAAACCUACCAGCGUAGCCGCUAUAUUCCCCAGAGAGACCGUGUCACCUCAAAAACCAGAAAACAUUAACAUAAACAGCCAACAGUUAACCUAACAGAAGACCUAAACAAUUUCAUGUGUGUAUAGACACAGAAGAAAUUGGAAGAGGUAAAGAAUAAAGUUAUUUGUUCAUUUCAUAAUUUUCUGUAUUGACUGUGAAUAUAGAGUAAUUUUUAAUUAAAUACUUUUUCAAUAUGAAGUGGGUGAUUGAAGUCAGUAUCUUUAAAAACUGUGAAUUCCCAUAUGAUUGUGAUCUCUGAUGUUGAUUGUAAAGAAAGAUUUGAUGGAAAUAGCAAUUUUACACGAAACAUGGGUCUUUGUUUAUGAUUCUGAUUGCUCCAAAUACAUUCAAAUGAAUUUCCAGAAGCUUGAGAAAAUUUACUGGUGAAACAGGGGUGACUCUCAGCAGCAGAUCAGGUGUGGAUUUAAACUUGUCAUUGUCCCAUCUGAAUAAAACCUCAAUGACUUAUUACAGCUGUUGUCCCAGUUCCCCUGGCAAUCAUUUAACAGAAAUGGCUAGUGUGACAGAAGCAUUCUUCGUCCUCAAAGACUUUCAAACUGACAUCAAUGUGGGAUGUGUAGCCUCAGAUGUGUUCAGAUCAGAAGAAAAAGACCCACAGCAUCCAAGGCAAUGAUGACGUGCAGUGGUGGAUACUGCACAUACACAGGAGAGGGGGGCAUAGAACAGAGACGUAUGGGAGUAAUGGGGUCCAGGAGAGAGCAAGGAAGGUAGAAGCAAUUAACUCUUUUCUCCUCCAUUUCUGCCCAAACCACCUCCACACUCUCUUCUACCUGAUCCUGUUUCCUACCUCUGCUUCCUUCCAAAUACUCUAUUUUACAGGCUUUCUCUGUCUCUUUAAUAUGUCCUCCUCCAGCAUGAGAAAUAUGACAGAGGAAUAAGGGCAAAGUUCACUGCUUUGAAUUCCAUUGUAAGU
This is an RNA transcript of Stegostoma tigrinum, 6649 nucleotides long. It is a transcript of the gene named zinc finger protein 271-like, with no coding region annotated. NCBI's taxonomy places the organism in Eukaryota, Metazoa, Chordata, Chondrichthyes, Orectolobiformes, Stegostomatidae. The record is from RefSeq and is a predicted model, not a curated record. The transcript has 3 exons.